UCCAUGCACCUCAAGCUUUGCUCUUUGCGUUAACCACUUGUGCACAUGCCAAGUCACAGAGGAGUCUGUCUCUGCCAUGCAAAACCAAUAUGACCAAUGUUCCUGUACGAAUGAAUGUGCAGGAACCAUAUGUUCUAAGGAAACUAUCUCAUGUGUUGAUGGGCAAUGCAAAUGCGGAGACAGGCAUGUCCUGAAAAAUCAAAAGAACCAAUGUUCCAGUAGGAAUGACUGUGCAGGAAUUGGGUGUCCUUCGGGAACUAUUGAAUGUGUUGAUGGGAAAUGCAAAUGCGUAAACUCGCGUGCCCUGCAAGAUCAAAAUAGCCAAUGUUCCAGUAAGAAUGACUGCACAGGAAUUAUAUGUCAUUCAGGAACUGUCGAAUGUGUUGGUGGGCAAUGCAAAUGCGUAACCGUGAGUGAUCCGCCAGGUCAAAAUAGGCAAUGUUCCAGAAGGAAGGACUGCAUAGGAAUUAAAUGUCCUUCGGGAACGAUCGAAUGUGUUUAUGGACAAUGCAAAUGCAUAAGCUUGCAUGCCCUACAAGAUCAAAAUAGCCAAUGUUCCAAUAGGAACGACUGCAUAGGAAUUAAGUGUCCUGGAAAUAUCGAAUGUGUUGAUGGGCAAUGCAAAUGCGUAAACUCGCGUGGCCUGCAAGAUCAAAAUAGCCAAUGUUCCAGUAGGAACGAUUGCACAGAAAUUUCAUGUACUUUCGGAAAUAUCGAAUGUGUUGAUGGGCAAUGCAAAUGCGUCUCGCGUGGCCUGCAAGAUCAAAAUAGCCAAUGUUCCAGUAGGAACGACUGCACAGAAAUUUCAUGUACUUUCGGAACUAUCGAAUGUGUGAAUGGACAAUGCAAAUGCGUAAACUCGCGUUGAUGAAGCCAUGCAUAGUCUUAGCUCUAUUUGUUAUAAGUACUUUAUUGAUCUCCUAGCUAAAAAGCUAAUAAAGCUAGGUGCAAUUUCAAAUUAGUACGGUAGUUUGAUAAGUGGCUGUAAUCUUUCUUUGAGGAAUAAAAGCCAUCGUUCUUUCUUUCUUUCAUGCCCUAAUUUCAAGCAAUGGUUGGCUCACUGUGUAUCUUAAAAGCUGACAAGAUUUAUAAGAAUUAAGUGGUGUACAUUUGAGAAUCAGCUUCCGGAAAUAACAGAGAAUUAAAAAUCAUCAUAAAGGGGAAAAACAGAGCAUCCUGUCAAAUGCAAUGCGUAAUAACAGAGCAAGUGUGCCUGAAAUUCAACUCUUAUUUUAAGUUCAACAUCUUCUAGGCCAAAGGAAAUGGAGGACUGCCCCAAACAUCUGUUUUUUAUAGCCAAACAAACUUGAGAUGAAUGAGCUCUGGAAAGAAAUGGUUCCUUUGGCUCAAGCAUUCAUGAGAACCUUUUAGCUGCUGCAGCCAUCUGCAUCAAGUAGGAAUGCAAACUUAGGCAAAAUAAUUAGCGAACAAUUUGCUCUCGGUUUGCAAAAACAUAUGCAAGAAAAUAGUCUUAAGCUUCUAGCUGCGUAAGAGAAUUGACUGUGCAUUUUCAUGUAUGAAGAUAAACUUAAUAAAAAAGAAAUGACAGAGGAUUUAGCUAGCUUGGAUAUAAUUGCUGUUGAAGUACUCAAAAAGUAUGAUGACUUACAUUUUGAAGUGAGCUCGAUCCGAAUUCUGAUCUGUAAUUCAGCUCCAAUGGUAUUUAUGUGACAUGACCCUCCUCUUUCAUCCGGGCUUGGGACCGGCUGUGUAAAAGAUCGGACUUGAGGCACAAUACAGGCAGAGUUAUCAUGUCACAACCGCUAUGACCAAUUGUAAGGGUCAAAGUGGUUGCUUAGCGUGUAUAAAGUAAACUGGAGAGAUUGUACUCAAUCCUGUCACAGUUGAGUCACCAUGACAGAAAUAUCAGAGGUGCCAUUAAAUUGUGUACAUAAGCCGCAAGCCUCCACAAAAUCACCAUUGUGGAGGUUUUGCAGCUUAUAAAAUCAUCUAAAUAAUGCUGUAAUGGAGGCUAGCAUGGAAAAUGCACAAGCUAGCCAAUUGAUCCAUGUGAAGUACUUCCCUGAGAGGAACAGACUGGUCAUCACAAAGAACCCCAUUGCAGUUAAAAAGGAUCCAAUUAUUGUUGAAUGUUUGGAUUUCAGAGGGAGCAAAGAAGGUACUGAGAGAGAGAGAGAGUGAGAGCUGAGAAGCAAAGAUUGUAAUAACAAAAAUGCUUACUCUGCAUAACCGUUGCAGCAGAGCCUAUAUUCCCUCAUGACAAUAGCAUGUUCUCUUACAUCAGCCAAUUCAAAAUCUAACCGUUUGUAAGAGUAAGCCAAUGUGAAUAUGACACAUGGCAAUACACAGCUUUUAGGACAGCUAGGAAAUAGAAACUGACUCAAGCAUUGCACCUGGCAUAUAAGCCAAGGUGCUCAGCUAACACAGGACUUAAAACAGAUUAAAUAUAAGCUGACUUAGAGCUUACUAACUAAUCAGAAAUUAGCUAGGCAGUUUACAUUUUAACACUCCCUUCUAAAGUGCUAGCUGAUUUCACUCCAAGCAUUCUCCUCAAAUAGUCGAACCUGUCUUUGGGAAGUGCUUUGGUGAAGAUAUCAGCAAUCUGCUCUUCUCCCUUGCAGUAGAGCAGUUCAAUCACUUCUUCUUGUAUUGCAUCUCUAAUAAAAUGAAACUUCCUUUUAAUGUGCUUGCUCUGUUGAUGAAAAACUGGAUUUUUAGCCAUUGCUAUGGCUGAAGUGUUGUCACAAAACACAGUAGUUGGAGUGGUCUGUUCUUCCCCAAAAUCUUCAAGAACAAACCUGAGCCAAAUGGCUUGUGAUGUAGCUUCUGCUGCACUCACAUACUCUGCCUCUGCAGUAGAAAGAGCCACACUGUGUUGUUUGACUGAUGCCCACGAAAAAAUACCACUUCCAAAUGAAAACGCAUAUCCAGAAGUGCUUUUCAUAUCUUCCUCAGAGCCACUCCAGUCAUUGUCACAGUAACCUACUAAGAGUGCAGACUUUCCAGUCACAUACUCAAUUCCAUAAUCAAUCGUACCUUGUAUGUACCUUAGAACCCUUUUAGCUGCCCCAUAGUGCAUCUUAGAAGGGUUGUGCAUGAAUCUUGCAAGCAGGCUGGUAGAGAACAUGAUAUCUGGCCUGGUUGCAGUGAGAUACAGCAGGCUACCUACAAUUUUUCUGAACAAGCUUUCAUCUGCAGCUUCACUUCCAUCCUCUCUUUUCAAUUUAUCAGUAGCCACUAAUGGAGUGCUUACUGACUUGCAGUCUUUGAGUCCAAACUUAUCCAAGAGAGUGAGAGCAUACUUCUUUUGGUGAAUGAAGAUGCUCCCUUUAGUUUGUGUUACUCCCAUACCAAGAAAAUGAUGGAGUAAACCCAAGUCAGACAUCUCAUACUUGCACAUCAUUUCAGCUUUGAAUUCUUUCACCAUUUCAUCACUACUUCCUGUAUACACUAUGUCAUCUACAUAGAUUGACACUAUUAGUGUUCCCACACUUUCCUUGGUUCUCACAUAGAGAGUUGCUUCACUUGGACUUUUGUGAAAACCACACUGAUUCAAGUAGGUGUCGAUUUCACUAUACUAGGCCCUUGGAGCCUGCUUCAACCCAUAGAGAGCUUUUCUUAACCUAUACACUUUAUCCUCAUCACUUUUAACCACAAAACCAUCCGGUUGAUCAACAUAAACUUCUUCUUCAAGGACACCAUUUAAGAAGGCUGAUUUGACAUCCAAUUGCCAUAGUUUCCAACCUUUCUGUGCAGCAAGAGCUAUGAGGGUUCUAAUGGUGUCUAACCUUGCCACUGGAGCAAAGGUUUCAUUGAAAUCAAUCCCUGGUUUUUGUGUGUAUCCCUUGGCAACAAGCCUUGCUUUAUGUUUUUGAAUGGAGCCAUCAAGAUUGAGCUUAGUUUUGAAUAUCCACUUCACUCCCACAAUUGGUUUACUACUUGGCCUAUCAAUUAAUUCCCAAGUAGAGUUUUUCUCUAUCAUAAGUAUCUCCUCAGUCAUAGCCUUCCUCCAAGCUUCAUCUUUGACUGCUUCUUCAAAAUUUUCAGGUUCAAUGAUGCUCAUCUUGCAUUGAGCAUACACAUCACUCAAACUCUUCCAUUUCUUUGGGGUGUUAUCAUAAGUUUCAAGUAGAGCUGAAUCUUGAGUAGCAUGCAAGUCACUACUUGUUUGUGUUUCCAUAGGAGACUGCACAAUCUGUUGCUAUAACAGAUUUGGUUCUGAAUCCAAAUCUGAUACUGUUGAACUUGCUUCGUCACUCCAAGACAUAGGAAUUUGCAAUGCCUCAUUUGUUUCCCAAUUCCACAUUGCUUCUUCAUAAAAAAUGACACUCCUAGACAGCUCAAUCUUUUGAGUUCUCAAGUUGAGUACUCUAUACCCUUUUUCACAUACUCCAUAUCCUACAAAUACUCCAUUCUCACCUGUUUCUUCCAGCUUGUGCCUUUUCUAUGUGGGGAUGUGAAUAUAGCAUAGAGAACCAAAUAUUCUCAAAUGCUUCACUCCUGGUUUUCUUCCACUAAACUUCUCAAAUGGAGUGGAAUUGUCCAGUGCACUUGUAGGGCUUCUAUUUUGUAGAUAUACAGCUGUAUUGACAGCUUCUGCCCAAAACUUCAAAGGAAUUUUCGUCUCAUGCAUCAUGGCUCUUGCCAUUUCCAUCACAGUACGAUUUUUUCUCUCUGCAACUCCAUUCUGUUGUGGAGAGUAGGCUACUGUCAGUUGCCUUUCUAAUCCCAUCUCUUCACAAAACUUUGAUAAAUCCAAAGAUGUAUAUUCUCCACCUCGAUCACUUCUUAGCUUCUUAAUUUGAUAACCACUUUGUAGCUCAACCAUGCUUUUGAACCUUUUGAAUAUGUUGAAUGCUUGAGACUUAUGCUGCAAAAAGAACACCCAACACAUUCUAGUGUGAUCAUCAAUGAAGGUGAGGAAAUAUCUAUUCCCUCCAAGAGUGAUGGUCUGCAUUGGACCACAUAUAUCUGAGUGAAUCAGUUCUAGAGGUUGAGAGGCUCUCCAAGCUCUUUCCUUAUCAAAUGAGCUUCUGUGAUUCUUGCUUAUAGCACAACCCGAGCAAACCUUCUCAUACUCUUGCAGAUUAGGCAGUCCCUGAACCAUAUCUUUCUCUUGUAACAGCUUCAAACUAACAUAGUUUAGGUGCCCAAAUCUUCUGUGCCACAGCCAGGAUGUUUCUCCAACUGUUGCUCUAUUUGCCAUAGGGGGAUUGACAUAAUCUAGAUUUAAAGGAAAACAUCUGUUUCCCUUCAUUGGCACUCUUGCAAUGCAAUCUUCCAGCUGCCUAUCUCCAUAGAUAUCAACUGCAUUAUCACCAAAUACAAGCCAAUGCCCAUGUUCUAUCAUUUGACCUACACUUAGCAAGUUUUCAUCCAAACCCGGUACAAUCAUGACUUCCUUGAUAUAUCUAGUCACACCCUUCAUUUCUAUAGCCAAAAUCCCUUUGCCUAUUGACUGCACUAGAUCACCAGUCCCCAUUUUGACUUUACACUUCACACUUCUAUCAACAUUUACAAGUAAGGACUCAUGGGAAGUCAUGUGAUUGCUACAUGCACUAUCAACAUACCACAUAUUCACAUUCUUUCCAAUUGUUGCAGCAUGACAUGCAUAGAACAUAAUGGCAGAUUCUGUUACCUGAUUUGCAAUGUUAGCAAGUUUCCCUGCCUUGUUUGCUUGGUCACAAUCCUUGACAAAAUGACCAAAUCGAUUGCAGCCAUGACACUUUGGUUUUCCUUUAAACCAACACUCACCAUAGUGUAGCUUCUCACAAUAUUUGCAUUUUCCAGAUUUGUCUCCUUGACUCGGUUUUCCCCCUUGAUUGGCAUUGUUUUGAGGUUUAGAAUCUCAUUUCUUAUCCUUGGACUUCCAGUUCUUCUUUGAUUUAUUAGUGCCAGGACUAGAACUUGACUGAGAUCCUUUUGAGUUUAUGCUCAUGCUGCUGAAAGCUUUCUCAGUGGUGCUUUCAGCAUGUCUGUCAAGACGCUGAGCAAAUCCUCUCAAUGCUACAAUUACCUCCUGCACUUCAAUGGUUUCAAUGUCCCUAGUUUGCUCAAUCACAUAGCAGACUGGAUCAAACUCCUUGGUUAAGCUUAUUAGCAGUUUCUGAACUAUCCUCCCUUUGGUCAGAUCUUCCCCAUAUCCCUUUAUCUGAUUUACAAGCUCAAGUAACCGAGUGAUGUACCCAAACAAGAUCUCAUCAUCCCUCAUCCUGGUGUACUCAAAAUCACGACGCAGACCCUGCAACUUGAUGGAUCUGACUUGCUUAUCACCAUGAAACUCCUGAUGCAAGAUAUCCCAAGCACCUUUUGAGGUUUCUUCAUUUGAGAUUCUGGGGAAAAUGUCAUCUGAAACAGCACCUUGGAUAAUACCAAGAGCCUUAGCAUCCUUCAUUAACAAAGACACCUUCUCUGACUCCGAUAACCCUUCUUCAUCAACCUUCUUCCCCUUUAAAUCUGGAUCUUGAAGCCCUUUCUCAACUAAAUCCCAGAUUCCAUGAGAUUUGAAAAUUGUUCUCAUUCGAAUCUUCCAAAACUCAGAGUUUUCCCCAUUGAAUAUUGGAGCUCUAAGAUCACUCCCUCCUGACCCAGCCAUCUGAGACCAGAAUCAAUGAGCUGAGAGUCGGAAAUUUCUCGUCGGAUUUCCAGACUCAGCUCACACAGUUUCAACGCCCACUAUCCAGAUCCAACCUGCGCUCUCGAUACCAUGUUGAAUGUUUGGAUUUCAGAGGGAGCAAAGAAGGUACUGAGAGAGAGAGUGAGAGCUGAGAAGCAAAGAUUGUAAUAACAAAAAUGCUUACUCUGCAUAACCGUUGUAGCAGAGCCUAUAUUCCCUCAUGACAAUAGCAUGUUCUCUUACAUCAGCCAAUUCAAAAUCUAACCGUUUGUAAGAGUAAGCCAAUGUGAAUAUGACACAUGGCAAUACACAGCUUUUAGGACAGCUCGGAAAUAGAAACUGACUCAAGCAUUGCACCUGGCAUAUAAGCCAAGGUGCUCAGCUAACACAGGACUUAAAACAGAUUAAAUAUAAGCUGACUUAGAGCUUACUAACUAAUCAGAAAUUAGCUAGGCAGUUUACAUUUUAACAAUUAUCUCAACAAUCUUUGCAGCCCUUGGACUGGCAUGCUGCAGAAAUAUCCCAGUAAAAGAAGCUGCAAAAGCAAUAACGAAGGAUGCGUUAGCGAUCUUCAGGGGAAGCAGAGGAGGCUGCUCCUGAGCUUGCCCUGAAGACGAUGAGUUUUGUGUAGCUAAGGUCAAAGCUGCCUGAAAACUAAGAUUAAGUAUUGUCUUCCCAAGACUCAAUGGAGCCUGUGGUGCUGGGCUAGUUUGCAUUUCCAUAUCAAUUGCACUUAUGUAAACAGGUAGGUCAUCUAAUGCUCUGGACCUCCUCUGUGAAACUGUAAGACACCUUACUCUUAUGAUGGAACACAAGUUAAGUGAAACAGCUGGUAUUAAACGAGAUAAAGCCAUACAAGCAUGGUGGAAAGCUAGCUUGAUUGCUGUGGGGAACGGAAUUGGUGGAUCAUUUGAAGGCUUUGGAUGUAAAUUAAAUUGCAUGACACAAAAAUAAACGUAAAGACUUGUUAAGUUCUCGGAGCUUCUCUCCAUUUUCAUUAUAUAAGAAGGUAAAGAGAAUUCUAGAGAAAUGGGUGAUUCUUCUCAUAGACGUUUCCAUAUGUCCUUGUUCCAAGUAAGUUCAUGGCUCCAUUUUAGUAUGAACUGAACAGAUAUUCUUUGCUUUGGUAGGGGUCAAAAAGCUCGAGACCUAUUGACUCCUUUUUCUUUUUGGUCAAUUUUCUUCCUUUUUAUUUUUUCCCAUUCUUUGCCCCAACCCCGCUGAUACAAUUCUUAUUCUUUGCUCAAGUAUUCCAAGAGUGUAAUGUUUUCUAAUGAAAUGGCUCUCUAACGAAUAAAAGGCAAAAUAUGCUCGCUCUUCAAAGCAAACCAGGGAAUAAAAUUUCAUUUAUAGAAAACAAUAUGGACAAAUUUCAACAUACAUAAAAAUUUCAUUCAAAGUUAAAUCAAGGCUGUGUAUCAGAAACCCUCCUCCUUUUUGUCCGGGCUUGGGACCGGCUGUGCAAAGUAAAAAUGACACAGGCGGAGUUAAAAUUUUUGGCUGAGCCAAAUUUUUUUUUUUUUUGGGUUUUGGACUUUUUGGUUUUUUUUUUGGGAUUUUUUCUUUUGUGGUAUCAAACGAUGACAUUUUACGAUACACUACUACUCAAUACUAAACUAUCUAGUAGUUAAGACUAAGGUGUGUUGAUGCUAAAAAAUGGUUCAACAUUUAUGGGCUCAACUUAUGAUGUUGUCACAUUCGACCUUGAAUGAGCUUCGGGAGAGCGAACAAUCUGAAAGACAAGGAACGGUUAGUAAGCCCUUUGACACCGAUGUGGUAUCGGCCGAAGGCUCUCUGAUACUUAAUUUAGAAUAAGUACGGAAUAAAUAGUAAUUUGGAUAGAAUAAUGGCAGGUUUGCUGAAUGCCAUAGGUGGUGUUAAAAAUUUUGGCUCAGCCUUUUUUUUUUUUUUGGGGUUUUGGACUUUCUGGUUUUUUUGGGAUUUUUUCUUUUGUGGCAGUUUACUAUACACUACUACACAAUACUAAACUAUCUAGACUUAAGGGUCAAGGCUAACGUAAAGGCUAGCAAGGAAAAAGCACACGCUAGCCAGCAAAUCCAUAUGAAGAUACUUGAGAGGAAAAUACUUGUCAUUAGGAAAAACCCGAGCGCAGCAGAAACAGACCCAAUUUUUUCAAUGAGGCUUGCAGCCCUUGGAUAGGCACGCGUUAGAAAAAUGGCAGAGAAACAAGCUGCAAAAGCAAUCACCAUAGCCACUCCAACCAUAUGCAAGGCCAGCAAAUGUGGCUGAUCCUGAUCCUGAUCAGGUUGGCCUGGAUUAGAUGCAAGAGUCAAGCCAACAAUGGCCUGGAAUGUGAGACCAAGGACUGUCUUCCCCAAGCUAAGUGGAGCAUUUGAUUGGUAACUUUGCACCUCAAUUUGACAACCAUGGAGAUAAAUUGGUAAGCAAUCCCCUGCUUGAUGACCAGACCAGCUCCACCAGCUUUCGAGCACCCUGUAACUCAUUAUUCUUGUGGAACAAGUCAGGGUUCUCACUGGUGGAGCAUCUGAACGAGGCCAGAAACAGGACAGUACAUUAUAGAAUGCAAGCUUGAUUGUUGUGACAAGGGAAAAUAAUGGUGGAGAGCUUGGAGAAGUCAUGGAAAUUAAUAAGGGAACACCAGCAUAUUGCAUAGACGUUUUAGUGUUCCCCUUCAAGUGGAUGUAAUGUUUUGUGUCUCUUUUCCUUUUAUAAUGAGGCAAAGAGAACACUAGAAACAUGGGGAGCCAUUAUUUUUCUCAGAAGUUUCAGAGUGAAGAGAAAUGGUGACUAUUGGGAAAAAAAAAAAAAAAGAAAAAAAAAAAGAGAAAUGGUGACUCAAUUGAUCCCACUAAUUAACAUACUGCAGGUCAUCAUGGCGUGUGAACAUUGCAUCUUCCUUUCCUUCGCUUACUUUUCUCACCAGUAUUCAUUAGGGUCACCGACCGACCGACAGACUAACUUUGUCUUGGCCAUUCACUUUUCACUUUUCUUGCUUAGCUAAACUGCUGACAUUAUGUUUGGAUCCCAUAAACAGUAUAGGGUCUAAGAUAUAGAAAAAGUCGACAAUAUCCAAAUCUUAGAAAAAAACACAUUUGACUUUUUAAAUACACUGGAUAUUAUACAUAUAAGCCUUGAAAACCUUAAAAAUUACAACAAUACCAUUAUUAUAUAAAUUUUUUUAAAAAAAAAUUAUAAAUGCAAGGAUAAUAGUGAUAUUUCACGUAUUAUUCAAAUUAAAAAAAUUUAUUGCAACCGACCCUUUUUUGGAUGUUUUUCUUCAAUUUAAAGAUUUUAGGAUUUAUAAAUUCAAAGCAAGAAAUAAGUUUUAUUAUAAAUUUGUCGAGUUGUAAUUACUUCCAUAUACAUUUCACAUCUAGAUCUAUUUUGGCCAAACCUAUAUGAGUAGUACUUAUCCAAUAUUUCCAUUCCGGAAUCUUUCGGUGGUGGGUCUAAAACCUCAUAGCUAGAUUGGUUGACCGACCUUUGGCCCAAAAUAAAGGGAUUGACUGACCGACCCCUUUGCCUUUCUUUAUUUUUUCCCAGCAAAAGAAGACCCCUUUGCCUUUUUCUUCUGAUAUAAUUUCUCCUACAUUUCCUUUCACCAAGUUCACAGCAGCUUCCUAGCCAUGCUCCUUCGGCUCAUGAACAUAUCAACAUCAAACAAAACUUCUCAAGUUACUUUCUAAUUUCCUGGAAGAUGCUGCCUUUUUUCCAUGACAUUGCUCAUACCCAAGUACUAUAAAAACAUAUGCAUGCACAAGUAAGUGUCUUUCAAAAUUACAUGUCCUUGAUCUUGCCCUGUCAAUGACAUGCGCAGAAGGAUAUGGCGGUGAAAGCACUCCUCGGCACUCUGCUGGUGGUAUUAUCAAGCCCACCACCGAUCCAGUUCACUACAAUACUAGAGUUCAUCUUGUGUGUGUGUUUGGCAACGACCACUCUUUUCAUCCAAGUUCCCCAUGAAUACAUAAACGAAGCAGCAAUUCUGACUAUACUAUUUAAGGGCCUUCCAUCCAUCUUUUGUGUUUUCGGCUUCUCCAUAAUCUUAGCUUUCUCCGGUGCAUUUACCGCGUUGAUGAUCAUCCGCAACAAGCCCGCCAUUGCAAGGAUCUUUGGACUCUGUUCCAUGGCUUCCAUGUCUUCAGCUAUGGCUCUGCUGAUGUGGGCCAUUUACAAUAAGCUGGCCGCAACCAUUUAAAAUAUUAAAUCUUGUUUCUUAGGAUGCAGAUUUACGACAAGGGAAUUGUUUAUGUAUUUUAAUACAAGGACAACAACAAGACAGUAUUGUUGUUUUGUAUGAUCUUUAUAAACUUGGUAUUUUGCCUGCCCAUGAGUUUAAUCCAAUUACUAGACUAGACCUACGUUCGGUUUUCCUUGACAAAAAUAAUACAGAAAAAUGAAAAGAGAAAAUAAAAAAACAGAGGAAGUUUUUUUUCUUAAAGAAAAUCUUUUCCCCAUAUGUUUGUCUUUGAAGAAGUUUUAUCUGGCAGAGAUAUCGAAAAUUAUAAGCAUUCAUGAUCAAUUAAAAUUUGGAAUUUCUGAAGACAUCAGUUUCUUUUCUUAAAAUUGUGUUGGAAUUUUAUAAAUAUAUUGUAUCUAAAGCAAUAAUUACUCCCAGCAAAUCUCAUAUGUUUUCCUUGUUAACGAUACCAGACAAGGAAAUUAGAGAUUAUGAUUCCCAAAUCCUGAAUCGUUAGUAAGUAUGAAGUUUAAUUUCCUCAUCACCAAACACAUAGUAAAAGAAAGCACCGCAGAAUUUGGAAAUUAAUAACUAAAGCUCCCUAAUUUUGGUAUUUACAGAAAUGAAACUCUUGUAAUUUUUGCAGGCGCACCAUUGUUAUCAAGGGUACCAGCAGGCGCUGAAGCAGCCAAGCCCGUCAAAAGAUGUAAUAGUAACGAUGACUGCAAGUUGUUUCCAUGCACCUCAAGCCUCAUUCUUUGCGUUAACCACACAUGCCAAGUCGCAGAUGUUAAUAUCAACGACUAUGCUGCGCCCUGCAGGAGCAGCACUGACUGCAGAGACACUGCAGAAGACUGACUGCAUAGACACUGCAAACCAGUAUAGCAACCCCUGCUACCCCACCGACGUGGGUGCCGCCGCCUCUGCCUACAACCAGAAACAGAAAAACAAAAAACAAAAUAAAACCAAAAUCCAUGUGGAUCUGGGCAACAAAAAGCCUCAUCACAAACCAAAACUCCAAUCCCUAGCAUAUGAGGAAAUGGAGAAGGAAAAGGAAAGGGAGAGGGGUUGAGAGGGAAGAGAGAGGAGGAAGAGGUGAGGGAAAAAUAAGCGAGAUGGGGGGUAGGAGAGGAUGGGCAGAGACCACGUCCCCCCUUGGUGCUGCUGAAGGGUGUGGGGGGCUACGUUUUUUUUUAAUUGUGAGCGCUAAUUCAAAGCAAGUGGAUUUUUUAGAGAA
Molecule: long non-coding RNA, 11973 nt
Filed under: Prunus persica (peach)
Lineage: Eukaryota; Viridiplantae; Streptophyta; Magnoliopsida; Rosales; Rosaceae
Description: long non-coding RNA (PPER_LNC001311)
Source: RNAcentral